RNAcentral lists this ribosomal RNA (123 nucleotides) under Salvator merianae (Argentine black and white tegu). The record is from RNAcentral. Lineage: Eukaryota; Metazoa; Chordata; Lepidosauria; Squamata; Teiidae.
GGUUGAAGCUUUAGCAUUUAGGAUGCCUCUUUCUGAUCUUGUCUGAUCUCAGAAGCUAAACAGAGUCAGGUCUGGUUGGUGCUUGGAUGGGAAACGACCUGGGAAUAGCAGGUGCCUAAAUUG